CACCCAGACUGCAGUGCAGAGGCGCGACCUUGGCUCACUACAACCUCCACCUCCCAGGUUCAAGAGAUUCCCCUGCCUCAGCCUCCCAAGUAGGUGGGAUUACAGGUGUGCACCACCACACCUGGCUAAUUUUUGUAUUUUUAGUAAAGACAGUGAUUCACUAUGUUGGCCAGGCUGGUCUGAACUCCUGGCCUCAUGAUCCGCCCACCUCUGCCUCCCAAAGUGCUGGGAUUACAGGCAUGAGCCACUGCACCUGGAUGGUCGCUUUUAGGAGAAGAAGAAAAACUACAAUUUCUGGUCCCUGUUAGGCAGUGAAGCAUAACAGUGAAAUCCUACAAAGGCAUCGAGACCUGGGUUUGAAUCCCAGCUCCACUAUGUACUAGCUGUGGGAUACUGGAAAGGUUACUCCCAGAGCCCCAGUUUCUUCAUUUGUAAAACGAGGAUAAUGAUAGUUUCAAACUUAUAAAUUGUUCAGAGAAUUAAAUGAGAUAAUUCAUGCAAAGUGCUUAGCAUGGUGCCCAGCACAGAAUAACUAUUUCAUAAAUAAAGAUGAUCUUUCUUCAGUAAAAGUUUCCUUUGGAAAAUUUCCAAGCCUCAUGGGUAUUCCAGGCAUCUGUCCAUAGCAGAAUUAGUAUGAAAGUAUUCAGGGGGUAUCCCAGGCCUCUCCAACCUCCUGGUCCAGAUGCUUUUGGGGCAAAAUCUGAACCAUGUUCAGGGACCAUGUUCAGGGGCUGGGGUUAGGGUUCAGUGUGAGGACAGGUUUCAGGCUCAGUCUGGGCCCAAAUUCAAAGCUCUGCAACUAACUCAUAAUAUAGCCUUGGGAAAGUCCCUUCCCAAUGAGCCUCAGUUUCCUCAUCUCUAAAAUGGGAACAACAUCCUCACCCAGCUUGCCUCCCGGAGGCACUGGGGGAGGACUGUCGAAUUAUGCGUGUGCAGGCUCGUGCGAACCCCAGGGAUCAGCCUCACUCUUCAGUGUUCCUUAUGUUCCUCUGGCCCUCAGGCCUGCUGGAUGAGAGAUUCUUCUCCCUGUUUCCAUGAGCCCACAGUGGAGGCCAUUCCCCAGGGCUAGAGCAGCCAGGCAGGGGACCCAAUGGAGACGGGGCAGGACACCCCAAGGCACUGCUGCCCCUCCCAGAAGCUGGGAACAGAAGGCUUGGAAUUCACUACGCACAUAUUUGCUGACUUCUCUGCGCUCUGCCUGCUUCGGGCAUUCACUUCCCAGAAGUUUAUUUGAGGAGACGCAGAUGAGCCGGAUUUGAGUUCCGCAGACCUGCCCAGACAAAUGGCUGAGCCCUUUCUCACUCCCUCGCUCACACACUCUCCACCUCCCUCGCUUUUUCUUUGUCUGUCUGUCUCUCCUGGAAGACCUGCCCUUUGCUCUCGCUUUCUCCCCGUGCUGUUUAUUCUCCAUUUGAUCCCCGGGCCCAGAUUCAUGCCCUGCCCUCCUCAGCCCUGCGCUGUGCCCCAGGAGAGUGACCCCAGAGAACUGCCUGGCCUGCGUGCCCCUGGUUGGGUUCAGCUGGUGGGAGGCACCGGCAGAGGUUGGAGGGAAGGGGAAGAGGGAGGUCAGGGAUUCCCUCCUCACUCCCUCCCUCCUGGGCAACAUUUUUAGCAGUGGCUGUGUUUCUCCAUGACUACGGCUUGCACCAGGCAUUCCCUCCUCCACAACACCAUUCCCUCCCCUCAUCCCAUCAGCCCUUGAGGUGGUAAGGGCUUCUGACUGGUGCUAGUCCCUGGAGCCCCACCUCUCUUGCUGCUUCCUAAAAUCUCCACCCAGGCCUCUGCAGGUAGCGCAUUCAUCACAGUCUCUGCAUAG
Macaca fascicularis (crab-eating macaque) is the source of this 1816-nucleotide long non-coding RNA. The record is from Ensembl. NCBI's taxonomy places the organism in Eukaryota, Metazoa, Chordata, Mammalia, Primates, Cercopithecidae.